This 465-nucleotide ribosomal RNA is filed under the name Vreelandella stevensii. Its description in RNAcentral is "partial 16S ribosomal RNA". It matches the Rfam family "Bacterial small subunit ribosomal RNA", at positions 338 to 795 of the family's 1533-position model. Lineage: Bacteria; Pseudomonadati; Pseudomonadota; Gammaproteobacteria; Oceanospirillales; Halomonadaceae. The record is from RNAcentral.
CCUACGGGGGGCAGCAGUGGGGAAUAUUGGACAAUGGGGGGAACCCUGAUCCAGCCAUGCCGCGUGUGUGAAGAAGGCCCUCGGGUUGUAAAGCACUUUCAGUGAGGAAGAACGCCUGGUGGUUAAUACCCAUCAGGAAAGACAUCACUCACAGAAGAAGCACCGGCUAACUCCGUGCCAGCAGCCGCGGUAAUACGGAGGGUGCGAGCGCUAAUCGGAAUUACUGGGCGUAAAGCGCGCGUAGGUGGCUUGAUAAGCCGGUUGUGAAAGCCCCGGGCUCAACCUGGGAACGGCAUCCGGAACUGUCAAGCUAGAGUGCAGGAGAGGAAGGUAGAAUUCCCGGUGUAGCGGUGAAAUGCGUAGAGAUCGGGAGGAAUACCAGUGGCGAAGGCGGCCUUCUGGACUGACACUGUCACUGAGGUGCGAAAGCGUGGGUAGCAAACAGGAUUAGAUACCCUUGUAGUC